GCGCUUGUAGCUCAGCUGGAUAGAGUGACUGGCUACGAACCAGUAGGUCGGGGGUUCGAGUCCCUUCAAGCGCG
Molecule: transfer RNA, 74 nt
Filed under: Clostridium sp. CAG:169
Lineage: Bacteria; Bacillati; Bacillota; Clostridia; Eubacteriales; Clostridiaceae
Also listed under: 1 other name
Rfam family: tRNA
About the family: Transfer RNA (tRNA) molecules are approximately 80 nucleotides in length.
Source: Rfam by way of RNAcentral